This 85-nucleotide transfer RNA is filed under the name Methanobacteriota archaeon. RNAcentral describes it as "Euryarchaeota archaeon tRNA-Ser". It matches the Rfam family "tRNA". Rfam says of the family: Transfer RNA (tRNA) molecules are approximately 80 nucleotides in length. Their secondary structure includes four short double-helical elements and three loops (D, anti-codon, and T loops). Lineage: Archaea; Methanobacteriati; Methanobacteriota. The record is from RNAcentral. RNAcentral also lists the same sequence under 2 other names.
GCCGAGAUCGCAUAGCCCGGUAGUGCGGUGGAUUCGAAAUCCACUGUCGUCAGACUCGGGGGUUCGAAUCCCUCUCUCGGCGCCA